GGCCGGAGUGGAGGGGUGUGGCCAUGCAAAUAAGGAGCAGCGGGCGUAUCUGAUUGGCGGGUCUUUGCCGGCCUGGGAACGUGUGCCCAAUGGGCACUCAACCAGGCUCAGCGAGCGCCCGCCCGCCCGUCCUUCAGCACCGCGCAGGGCUCCGCCCUCUUCCGCUUCCCUGGCGGCGGCGGUUCCCAAGCCCGGAGUCACCGCGGCUCAGACUCCGCUGACGCUGUGCCCUGGAGGCCUCGCACCCCUCAGCAGGGCCUGCUGCCUUCAGACACCGCCCUGCCCACCAGGGCCAGCACCGUGGGCUGGCUGUCACUGAGGGCCUGGCACCUACAAGAUGCUUAACAAACCUUAGUUUGGUAGUCCACAAGGGAUUUUUUAAAUUAAUAAGACAAUCUCUGACUUUAUAAAGAGAUAGACAUGCAACAAGUAAAGAGGAUGCAGACCGUAGUGUU
Myotis lucifugus (little brown bat) is the source of this 455-nucleotide long non-coding RNA. RefSeq lists it as uncharacterized. The transcript is spliced from 2 exons. The record is from RefSeq and is a predicted model, not a curated record. Lineage: Eukaryota; Metazoa; Chordata; Mammalia; Chiroptera; Vespertilionidae.